UGACUUGAUGAGGUAGAGUAAUGCCAUGGUAAGGCAUAAGUCAUCGGUUCAAAUCCGAU
RNAcentral lists this transfer RNA (59 nucleotides) under Triticum aestivum (bread wheat). It matches the Rfam family "tRNA", at positions 8 to 63 of the family's 71-position model. Rfam says of the family: Transfer RNA (tRNA) molecules are approximately 80 nucleotides in length. Their secondary structure includes four short double-helical elements and three loops (D, anti-codon, and T loops). Further hydrogen bonds mediate the characteristic L-shaped molecular structure. tRNAs have two regions of fundamental functional importance: the anti-codon, which is responsible for specific mRNA codon recognition, and the 3' end, to which the tRNAs corresponding amino acid is attached (by aminoacyl-tRNA synthetases). tRNAs cope with the degeneracy of the genetic code in two manners: having more than one tRNA (with a specific anti-codon) for a particular amino acid; and 'wobble' base-pairing, i.e. permitting non-standard base-pairing at the 3rd anti-codon position. Lineage: Eukaryota; Viridiplantae; Streptophyta; Magnoliopsida; Poales; Poaceae. The record is from Rfam by way of RNAcentral. RNAcentral also lists the same sequence under 1 other name.